UCCCUCCGGCCUCCCGCGCUGAAGCCGGUGCGACUCAGGCGCUGUCACAGCCUGGGAAGCGGCUGUGCUAGGUGGGAGCGGUGUUGGCCAGCGGUGCGCGCGUCCUUCUGGCGAGAUUCCUGAUCAAGGAGAGGGGCCAGGACAGCUGGUAUCCUGGGCAGCAAUGAAGACGUAGCCGCGCCGACCUUUGCUUAUAGUGCCAGGUCACCCCGUGUCUGAAGGCUAUGAUGGGAAUGCGAGCCAGAACUUGGAGGCUCUGUGUAACCCACUGCUUCUGCCUGGAAGAUCCUUCUGUAGGAGAGCUGUCUCCGGUGGCGGUGGACUUCAAGGGGCCAAUGGAUGAGCGCAGUGCAGGGCGCCCCAGACGCACGCUUCUUGUGGUCUAGUCCCCCAGAAGCCCUUCCGCGGGGCCUGGGCUCUGGGAUGAGGCACCUGCUGGACACAUGGCCUUGCCCUGAGUGACGAUGGUCCGCCGCGGCCUGCUGGGGUGGAUUUCCCGGGUGGUGGUCCUGCUCGUGCUGCUGUGCUGCGCCAUCUCCGUCCUCUACAUGCUGGCCUGCACCCCCAAAGGCGAUGAGGAGAAGCUGGGGCUACCCAGGGCCAACGGCCCCACGGGGAAAGAGGGCUACCAGGCCGCGCUGCAGGAGCGUGAGGAACAGCACCGCAACUAUGUCAGCAGCCUCAAGCGGCAGAUCGCUCAGCUCAAGGAGGAGCUGCAGGGGCGCAGCGAGCAGCUGCAAGGUGUGCAGGAGCAGGCCAGCGUGGCGGCAGGCCUUGGACCCGCGGCCAAAGCCCAGGCACAGGCGGACCUGCGGGCCUUCCUGCGCGCACAGGUGGACAAGGCCGAGGUGCAUGCGGGGAUCAAGCUGGCCACUGAGUACGCAGCGGUGCCCUUCGACAGCUUCACCCUGCAGAAAGUGUACCAGCUGGAGACCGGCCUGACUCGCCACCCCGAGGAGAAGCCCGUGAGGAAAGACAAGCGCGACGAGCUGGUGGAAGCCAUUGAGUCGGCCUUGGAGAGCCUGAACAGCCCCUCGGAGAGCGGCCCGAACCAGCGUCCGUACACAGCCUCGGACUUCAUAGAAGGGAUCUAUCGAACAGAAAAAGAUAAAGGCACUUUGUAUGAGCUCACCUUCAAAGGGGACCACAAACACGAAUUCAAACGACUUGUCUUGUUUCGACCAUUUGGCCCAAUCAUGAAAGUGAAAAAGGAAAAGCUCAACAUGGCCAACACACUUAUUAACGUUAUCGUGCCCUUAGCCAAAAGGGCGGACAAGUUCCGGCAGUUCAUGCAGAAUUUCAGGGAAAUGUGCAUCCAACAAGAUGGGAGAAUUCAUCUCACUGUUGUUUACUUCGGGAAAGAAGAAAUGAAUGAAGUCAAAGGAAUACUUGAAAACACUUCCAAAGCUGCCAACUUCAGGAACUUCACCUUCAUCCAACUGAGUGGAGAGUUUUCCCGGGGAAAGGGACUCGAUGUUGGGGCCCGGUUCUGGAAAGGCAGCAACGUCCUCCUCUUCUUCUGUGACGUGGACAUUUACUUCACCUCAGAGUUCCUCAACACGUGCAGGCUGAACGCGCAGCCAGGGAAGAAGGUGUUUUAUCCAGUCCUCUUUAGUCAGUACAACCCUGGUAUAAUCUACGGCCAUCAUGAUGCCAUCCCACCUCUAGAACAGCAGCUGGUCAUAAAGAAGGAAACUGGAUUUUGGAGAGACUUUGGAUUUGGGAUGACCUGUCAGUAUCGCUCAGACUUCAUCAACAUAGGUGGAUUUGAUUUGGAUAUCAAAGGCUGGGGUGGAGAGGACGUGCACCUGUAUCGCAAGUAUCUCCAUAGCAACCUCAUAGUGGUGCGGACGCCCGUUCGGGGACUCUUCCACCUCUGGCAUGAGAAGCGCUGUGUGGACGAGCUGACCCCUGAGCAGUACAAGAUGUGCAUGCAGUCCAAGGCCAUGAACGAGGCAUCCCAUGGGCAACUUGGGAUGCUGGUCUUCCGGCACGAGAUAGAGGCUCACCUGCGCAAACAGAAACAGAAGACCAGCAGCAAGAAAACAUGAACUUCUAGGGGCUGGAUUCAGAGAGACACUUUUUUUCCUUUUGCAAUUACCAAAAAAUGGCUGCAACAAGGAAAAGACCGCCAUAAAGGGCGCAAAGAGAAUCUGACUGAUUAGUAAGAGAUGAGAGGAGAGAGCCUUCCAUUUUUCUCCAUUUUUAUGCAAGAGGAAUUAAAAUCUCCACUGUGCCUGCAAACACAGCCCAAAUGCACCCGAGAAGUGUCUGACAAAGGCAGAAUGAUUGGGAGAUGAUAAGCCUGGUGGUGUGGAGGUUUUGAUUGUGUUUACAACAAAAUGAGAUCUCUUGUUUCCUAUGCUUAUUGAAAUAUUCAUGAAUUAAGACUAGUUUUGUAAAGAGUUCAUUAGCAUGAAAGGCAGCACAUUUCUCCUCAUAUGAAUGACUCCUCUAUCAGUGAGGCUUCAAUGGUAGGAAUGUUGAAGUCUCGGAAGGCAGCAGAGGAAACCAAGUCAAAUGUGGUGAUCCACUCUCAUAAGCCUCAUGAAGACCAUAGGCAGUCAGAUGGACCAGAUGGAGCAGUAACCAUAAAUACUGUGUCAUUUUUCCCCACGAUUAACCAAAAAUCAUCUGCUUAUCUUUCGAGUCAUCUUUUUAACCAUCUCCAUUUGUUUAUUUAAAAAUGCACUUUUUUUUUGCUUGUGACUGCUUAUUUAAUUAUCAAUUUGCAAGCCUUACUAAGAGAGCACAAGUUAGCAUAUAUAUGUUUAUGUUUUUUAAGAAGAUAUUUUUAGAUGCCUCGUGAGAACUUUCAGUUCAGAAUAUCAGAUUGGAAGUACAUUCCAGGACUGGCCAAAUGUGCAUACUGCGCAGCCCUGAAGGCCUUGAGACCAAGGGGAAGCCCGGCUGGGCCACUGAGAAAGAGGUGUGUAGAUAUUUUAUCUGAAGAUAAAAUGGGCAGGAAGAGGAACAGCUGAACACUGGAGGAAAAGGCGAAGACACUUUCACAUUACCGGAAAGGAAAUGCAUUCAGACUGACAAUAACUUGAUAUAUUUAAAAGUCACUUUCUUACCCGUUGAAAUAAACCAAAGUUAUGAACCAAACAAUCUCUUUUCAAAGCAGGGUGCUUUUCCUGGCUUCUGGCUUCCAUUAGAAGAAAAGCAGGAGAAAAAAACUCAAUCUACUUUCCAGAGUCCAGUGAGAUGGAAGCUUUUGCUACAUGUUCACUCACCCCGGGCUAGGUGGAAAUAACUCAAUUAUUUUUAAAAUUAAGCAGUUCUACUCAGUCAUCAAGAGGCUUCUGAAUAUUGCAUUUUAUUACAGUUUCAAAGUGUUUUUUUAAAAAUAAGUACAGUCAACAUUGAGUGGUUUCUACAUCCAUGUGAGGAUUAUUUAUUUAUUAGCCAGCACCAGACGCAUGAGCUAAUUAUCUCUGAUUCCUUUCCUUCUGUUUGCCUACAGUAAACUCAUUGUUUAAAAGCUUCAAGAGCAUUCAAACUGUUGGUAUAAGAAAAGGCAUUGUAUUGAUUUGUACUGGUACUUCAUAAAACUUAAUUAAAACACAAGACAUAUAUGGAAGGUGGUAUUGCAGAGCUAAUAAAAUAUGAUUUGUGGAUUUGAUUUCUUCUUGGAAUAAUAACGCUAUGUCUUCAGUUUUUGGAAAGCAUUUUUAUGAGCAGAUCAGAACUUCUCAAGCUUAUCCAGGUAAAGCAGCCUUAUGGAAGGACAGAGGCUCUUGGAAAAUACAGUCGAGUGAUCUGUCUCCAUGCUCUGCCUGAGGCAUAAGUAAAAGAAAAAGCCCGACUGAUGCAUAAAUAGGAUGCUGAAAGUUAAACUCACACAGCAAAGGAGAGCAGUAAUGAAGUUGGUUUGAAGGACCUGGCACAUUGUGUCUUGCACAGGAAGGAUGCUGCCAGGACACGCUGAGGAUUGGACAGGGUGAAGCCCUUUUCCUACUCUGCACACCCAUGCUCUAUCUCUCUCCCAUCAGCUUCCUGUUAACCAGGUUGAAGUAAGGACAUUUUUGAAGUAAGGAAUAUAGCCAAGAAACAUGUUCAUAACACCAAGCUUACAAGGUAAGUACUAUCAUUACUUCCAUUUUUCAGGUGCAGAAAAUUGAAGCUUGGAAAUGUUAAAAGAUUUGUAAGGAGGCUCAACCAGAAUCAAGUGAGCACUGUGUGGUGUGAUCUUUCUAUCCCUUGGCCAUGUCCAGGUGGAGAAAAGAGCUCUGGCCUUGGAGAGUCCAGAGUCUGCUCUCUUUGUGCUUUGGUCUCCUACCAUUUUUCUGCCCCUAUAUCUCCAGCCCCACCUGAGACAGCCAAGGAAGGCAUGAGAAUGUGUUAACACAGUGAUCCAGGAACAGCUCUCAUGCAGAAUUCCAAGAUAUGACAUUUAAAAACCAUAUUGAGUAGGAGGGAAGAGCAGGUGGGACUACGUGUGUGUGUGUGUGUGUGUGUGUGCGUGUUUUAAAAGAGAACCUGAUACUGUUUCUGAGAGCUGCUUCUCAGUGGGAUGGGUGUGUUUUUCUCACAACACACAUCAGCUACUUGGCAGCUUUGAGUGAUCCAUAUUCUGAUUAACUUUAUAUUUUAAUUCAAAGCUAUUUCUCCCAGCAGGCCCAGGGCUUUGCUGUUGCUGCCAAAAAUUGUGGGGACUGUGCCAGUUGGUUAGGGGGUUUGGGCGGUGGUUUUUUCCAACACACAGAAUAUGUUCUUUCCUGUCAGCAGAGGUGCCUUUCAGAAGUUCUCUGCAUUGCUGAGGCUCCAAACAACAUGCUCUGUGGAGUAGCAGCCCUGGGUCCCCUGGGCUGCAUCUGGCUUUUUGGCAGCUCUAAUAAGAGUGGACCAGAGACUGGAGAGCAAGACUGGAGCCAACUCACACAUCUUGGCAAGGCCUAGCACUACUGGUGACAUGAAUGGACAAGCUAACUUCCCUGUGGAAAUUCGUACAGCAGAAUUGGACAGGAUAUAAGAACCAGGGGCCCUGCAGAUGGCAUGAUUGGGAGAGAAGCUCUGGUGAUACAGAAGCAGUGACCAGAAAACCUGAGAUAACUGAACGAGGGAGAGUCCAGAGUCUUAUUGAGGGACAGAAGAAUCAACUCGGAAAAAGAGUAGCAUUUGGGUACAGACCCAAAGUCUCUGAAAUCUGCAGUGAGUAAUACAACUUAAGACUGCAGAGUUGGACGAAAAGAAAAAAGACCACCCAGUUAAAAAUGUCUUCUUUCAGAAGCAAAAGCAGUUUCCGAGAGGUAAAGAAACUUGUCCAAAAUUAUACAGAAAAUAGUGGGAAGUGAUGGAAACAGAAGGGAGUUUCUGUAUAAUAGUGGAAUGGCAGAAACGAAAGCUAAGAGUUCUUACAAAAAUCUAACAAUAGAAACCAUGCAAAACAUUUCAAGAAACAAGUUAACCAUGA
Molecule: RNA transcript, 5416 nt
Organism: Fukomys damarensis (Damara mole-rat)
Lineage: Eukaryota; Metazoa; Chordata; Mammalia; Rodentia; Bathyergidae
Gene: Csgalnact1
Gene name: chondroitin sulfate N-acetylgalactosaminyltransferase 1
Exons: 13
Source: RefSeq, a predicted model, not a curated record